UCCUUUUUUCCUUUUUUUGCUAUAGCAAUUUCCAUAUCUUUUUUUAAGUAUAAGUAAUGAGCCUAUCCUCUAUCUUAUUUUUUAUGUUUAUAUUUCAAUAUACCGAAACCUAUAUAAGACUAGAUAAAUAUUAAGAGGACUCUUCCGCCUAGAUAAAAAUAUAUCAUGGUCAGCAAAGUUGUUUCUUUAUUUAUAUUUGCCCUUUAGUUAAUAAUUUCAAUUUCAUUAAGAAAAACUAACUAAAUAAAUGGAAAAUGAAAAUUAAUAGAAUUCUUUUUUUUUUUCUUCAAAUCCAAAAAAUUUCUCUUUUUUAUACAUAGGUCGUCGAUUCGGCAUUGGUUAAAAAAGGGCAGGGUGCCCCUUCUUUUUUUUUCUAGUAAAUAGUUCAAACCAUUUUAUCGAUAUGAGUGUUCUAUAUCAGAUAAAUUUUACAUUAGCUAUUUCCCGUUUAAAUUCGG
This 458-nucleotide long non-coding RNA is filed under the name Hordeum vulgare. RNAcentral's name for it is "long non-coding RNA (HVUL_LNC021710)". The record is from RNAcentral. Lineage: Eukaryota; Viridiplantae; Streptophyta; Magnoliopsida; Poales; Poaceae.